RNAcentral lists this ribosomal RNA (251 nucleotides) under uncultured bacterium. RNAcentral's name for it is "partial 16S ribosomal RNA". It matches the Rfam family "Bacterial small subunit ribosomal RNA", at positions 525 to 775 of the family's 1533-position model. The record is from RNAcentral.
ACGUAGGGAGCGAGCGUUGUCCGGAAUUACUGGGCGUAAAGGGUGCGUAGGCGGCUGUGUAAGUCAGAUGUGAAAUACCGGGGCUUAACCUCGGGGCUGCAUCUGAUACUGCAUAGCUUGAGUGCAGGAGAGGAAAGCGGAAUUCCUAGUGUAGCGGUGAAAUGCGUAGAUAUUAGGAGGAACACCAGUGGCGAAGGCGGCUUUCUGGACUGUAACUGACGCUGAGGCACGAAAGCGUGGGGAGCAAACAG